CCUACGGGUGGCAGCAGUGAGGAAUAUUGGUCAAUGGACGCAAGACUGAACCAGCCAAGCCGCGUGAAGGAAGACGGCUCUAUGAGUUGUAAACUGCUUUUGUACGAGGGUAAACGCAGAUACGCGUAUCUGUCUGAAAGUAUCGUAAGAAUAAGGAUCGGCUAACUCCGUGCCAGCAGCCGCGGUAAUACGGAGGAUGCAAGCGUUAUCCGGAUUGAUUGGGUUUAAAGGGUGCGUAGGCGGUCGGAUAAGUUAGAGGGGAAAUCUCGGGGCCCAACUUCGGAAUUGCCGGUGAUACUGUUCGGCUAGAGAGUAGUUGCGGUAUGCGGAAUGUAUGGUGUAGCGGUGAAAUGCUUAGAGAUCAUGCAGAACACCGAUUGCGAAGGCAGCUUACCAGGCUACUUCUGACGUUGAGGCACGAAAGCGUGGGGAGCGAACAGGAUUAGAUACCCGAGUAGUC
Molecule: ribosomal RNA, 460 nt
Filed under: uncultured bacterium
Lineage: Bacteria
Description: partial 16S ribosomal RNA
Rfam family: Bacterial small subunit ribosomal RNA
Source: RNAcentral